UACAGGGGGGGCAAGCGUUGUUCGGAAUUACUGGGCGUAAAGGGUUUGUAGGUGGCUUGCUAAGUCAGACGUGAAAUCCCUCAGCUUAACUGGGGAACUGCGUCUGAUACUGGCGAGCUUGAGUGCAGGAGAGGAACGCGGAAUUCCAGGUGUAGCGGUGAAAUGCGUAGAUAUCUGGAGGAACACCGGUGGCGAAGGCGGCGUUCUGGACUGCAACUGACACUGAAAAACGAAAGCCAGGGGAGCAAACAGG
This 253-nucleotide ribosomal RNA is filed under the name uncultured bacterium. Its description in RNAcentral is "partial 16S ribosomal RNA". It matches the Rfam family "Bacterial small subunit ribosomal RNA", at positions 524 to 776 of the family's 1533-position model. The record is from RNAcentral.